This is a small nucleolar RNA of Ailuropoda melanoleuca (giant panda), 100 nucleotides long. NCBI's taxonomy places the organism in Eukaryota, Metazoa, Chordata, Mammalia, Carnivora, Ursidae. The record is from Ensembl.
AGCCUUCUGUAGUUUGUAAGCAUGAUGAUUGGGCCUUCACACCAUUCACAUGUGCCUUCCUCAAACCUUGUUACAACCUCGGCACAUUGGUUGUCUGGAC